GGGGGGGGGGGGGGGGGGGGUGAGCGCAUGCAAGGCGAACGGGGAGGCCGGCUUUCCCUUGUGGGUUGCGGGUAGUCGAGUGGCGAACGGGUGAGUACCACGUGAGUGAUCUGCCCCCAACUUGGGUAUAAGCCUGGGAAACUGGGUCUAAUUCCCGAUAGGACUGCAGGGUGGUGCCUGUGGUGGAAAACGAUUUUCUAGUGGUUGGGGAUGAGCUCGCGGCCUAUCAGCUUGUUGGUGGGGGAAUGGCCUACCAAGGCGGCGACGGGUAGCCGGCCUGAGAGGGUGGACGGUCACAUUGGGACUGAGAUACGGCCCAGACGCCUACGGGAGGCAGCAGUGGGGAAUAUUGCACAAUGGGCGGAAGCCUGAUGCAGCGACGCCGCGUGGGGGAUGACGGCCUUCGGGUUGUAAACUCCUUUCGACCGCGAGGAAGCCACCUGGUUGGAAGGGUGGUGACGGUAGUGGUAGAAGAAGCACCGGCUAACUACGUG
RNAcentral lists this ribosomal RNA (494 nucleotides) under uncultured bacterium. Its description in RNAcentral is "partial 16S ribosomal RNA". It matches the Rfam family "Bacterial small subunit ribosomal RNA", at positions 38 to 507 of the family's 1533-position model. The record is from RNAcentral.